UGUUUGUUUGUUUGUUUGUUUGUUUUUGUUUUUGACAGAGUGGACAGUGAGAGAGAAAGGUCUUCUUUUUUCCGUUGGUUCACCCCCCAAUGGCCGCUGAAGCCAGGAGCCAGGUGCUUCUCCUGGUCUCCCAUGUGGGUGCAGGGCCCAAGCACUUGGGCCAUCCUCCACUGCACUCCCUGGCCACAGCAGAGAGCUGGCCUGGAAGAGGGGCAACCAGGACAGAAUCCGGCGCCCCGACCGGGACUAGAACCCGGUGUGCCGGCGCCGCAAGGCGGAGGAUUAGCCUAGUGAGCCGUGGCGCUGGCAAACACUUUCUAUCAACUGAGUUGAUAGUGUGCGUUUUCUGUUUUGUAUACUUGGUCUGCUGGGUAGUUUUCAUACGUUGAACCAUCUUUGCAUUGCUGGGAUAAACUCCACUUGGUAUGGUUUAUUCCUUUUAAUGUGUUGCUGAAACGUAUUUAGUUUUUUCUUUCCAAUUUAUUUAUUGGAAAGUAGUGGGAGACAGAGGGGAAAGUAUCUCCCAUCUACUGGUUCUAGUCAAUUUAGUAUUUUCUUGAGAAUUUUUGCAUUGUUUUUCCUCUGGUUGUUUUCAAGAUUCCCUGUGUUUGAGCGAUGGGUUUCUUUCAUUGGAUCCUACUUGGAGCUCACUGAUUUGUAUUUAUAUAUUUGUAUUUAUAUAUUCACUUCUUUCCUCAAAUCUGGGAAGCUUACAGCCAGUAUUCUUUGAAACUAGGCUCUUGUCCCUCUUUUCUUUCUUGAAUCCCUGUAAUGUGUAUAUUGGUUGGCUUGAUUGUGUCCCAGAAGUCUCUUAAAUGGCAAACUUGUUAAAUUUUUUUUUCUUCUCUCAGUAACUGCAUAUGACAACCCCAUUGCUGCCACCGAAGGAUAACCACGGUAGUGUAUGUGUUUCAGAGUCUUCCCUGGGGUACCCUCCUCACUCUGCAUCAAAGAGGCACACUUUGAUUUCUUGAUUCACCAGCUUUGUUCACAGUUUCACAUAUCCAAAGAUGAGGUUUUAUAGACUUGGCCUUCUUCCCUCUCAUUCUUGUUGUAUUGUCAUAUUUCUUAUUUGUUAAAAUUUUAUAUUUUAAAUGGAGGAGCAAGGAGAAAGGGAGCGAGCUGUCAGCUGAUUCACUCCCCAAGAGCACGCAAAAGCCACACCUGGGCCAGGCUGAAGCAGGCCUCCCAUGCAAGUGACAGAAACUCAGUCAUUGAAGCCCCCACUGCGCUCCCCACGGUUUACGUUGGGAGUCAGGACCCAGAGCCGAGGAUUAGACCCGAGCACUCGGAUGAGGGGUGCCAUCAUAACCAGUAGGACAACGUGCCCGCCCCUGUUGGGAAUAUUCUAAGCACGUGUAUACAGAGAAUUCGUGAGCUCCAACAACAUACACAAGGGAGAGUAACACUUAGUUCUCCUUCUCUUCUGUACAACUUCUGAACUUGUUUUCUAAAGUGUAAUUCAUUUCAUUAAAGGGUAUAUGCAUGUUGUACCUGGAUGCUUUGAAUUACCCCCUGGAGCUGGGCCAGCUGAUGAGGACUCUGGACAGUAGCACCCCUGCCAGCUACCGGAUCACAUUUGUCCCUUCAGAAUACAGGUUGGAGAGAGGAGAACGGACUGUUUGCUUGUUUGCGGUUUGCAGGAGCGGCUGACCUGUGGAGCCCCGUGAGCGAAGGUGCGUGUGGUGCAGGGAAGAUGUGGCUGCAGCCACAGAGGAACGCCUGUCUCCUGGACAGAACUCAGCA
Molecule: non-coding RNA, 1746 nt
Organism: Oryctolagus cuniculus (rabbit)
Lineage: Eukaryota; Metazoa; Chordata; Mammalia; Lagomorpha; Leporidae
Source: RefSeq, a predicted model, not a curated record